This 496-nucleotide ribosomal RNA is filed under the name uncultured bacterium. RNAcentral describes it as "partial 16S ribosomal RNA". It matches the Rfam family "Bacterial small subunit ribosomal RNA", at positions 28 to 506 of the family's 1533-position model. The record is from RNAcentral.
GAUGAACGCUGGCGGCGUGCCUAAUACAUGCAAGUCGAGCGAACAGACGAGGAGCUUGCUCCUCUGACGUUAGCGGCGGACGGGUGAGUAACACGUGGAUAACCUACCUAUAAGACUGGGAUAACUUCGGGAAACCGGAGCUAAUACCGGAUAAUAUAUUGAACCGCAUGGUUCAAUAGUGAAAGACGGUUUUGCUGUCACUUAUAGAUGGAUCCGCGCCGCAUUAGCUAGUUGGUAAGGUAACGGCUUACCAAGGCGACGAUGCUUAGCCGACCUGAGAGGGUGAUCGGCCAAACUGGAACUGAGACACGGUCCAGACUCCUACGGGAGGCAGCAGUAGGGAAUCUUCCGCAAUGGGCGAAAGCCUGACGGAGCAACGCCGCGUGAGUGAUGAAGGUCUUCGGAUCGUAAAACUCUGUUAUUAGGGAAGAACAAAUGUGUAAGUAACUAUGCACGUCUUGACGGUACCAAAGCAGAAAGCCACGGCUAACUACGU